UGGGGAAUAUUGGACAAUGGGCGAAAGCCUGAUCCAGCCAUGCCGCGUGUGUGAAGAAGGUCUUCGGAUUGUAAAGCACUUUAAGUUGGGAGGAAGGGCAGUAAGCGAAUACCUUGCUGUUUUGACGUUACCGACAGAAUAAGCACCGGCUAACUCUGUGCCAGCAGCCGCGGUAAUACAGAGGGUGCAAGCGUUAAUCGGAAUUACUGGGCGUAAAGCGCGCGUAGGUGGUUCGUUAAGUUGAAUGUGAAAGCCCCGGGCUCAACCUGGGAACUGCAUCCAAAACUGGCGAGCUAGAGUAGGGCAGAGGGUGGUGGAAUUUCCUGUGUAGCGGUGAAAUGCGUAGAUAGAGGAAGGAACACCAGUGGCGAAGGCGACCACCUGGGCUCAUACUGACACUGAGGUGCGAAAGCGUGGGGAGCAAACAGG
Molecule: ribosomal RNA, 429 nt
Filed under: Pseudomonadota bacterium
Lineage: Bacteria; Pseudomonadati; Pseudomonadota
Description: Proteobacteria bacterium partial 16S ribosomal RNA
Rfam family: Bacterial small subunit ribosomal RNA
Source: RNAcentral